GACGAACGCUGGCGGCGUGCUUAACACAUGCAAGUCGAACGGAAAGGCCCUGCUUUUGUGGGGUGCUCGAGUGGCGAACGGGUGAGUAACACGUGAGUAACCUGCCCUUGACUUUGGGAUAACUUCAGGAAACUGGGGCUAAUACCGGAUAGGAGCUCCUGCUGCAUGGUGGGGGUUGGAAAGUUUCGGCGGUUGGGGAUGGACUCGCGGCUUAUCAGCUUGUUGGUGGGGUAGUGGCUUACCAAGGCUUUGACGGGUAGCCGGCCUGAGAGGGUGACCGGCCACAUUGGGACUGAGAUACGGCCCAGACUCCUACGGGAGGCAGCAGUGGGGAAAAUUGCACAAUGGGCGGAAGCCUGAUGCAGCAACGCCGCGUGCGGGAUGACGGCCUUCGGGUUGUAAACCGCUUUCGCCUGUGACGAAGCGUGAGUGACGGUAAUGGGUAAAGAAGCACCGGCUAACAACGUG
This 468-nucleotide ribosomal RNA is filed under the name uncultured bacterium. RNAcentral describes it as "partial 16S ribosomal RNA". It matches the Rfam family "Bacterial small subunit ribosomal RNA", at positions 28 to 507 of the family's 1533-position model. The record is from RNAcentral.